CUACGGGAGGCAGCAGUGGGGAAUUUUGGACAAUGGGGGCAACCCUGAUCCAGCCAUGCCGCGUGAGUGAAGAAGGCUUCGGGUUGUAAAGCUCUUUCAGCCGGAACGAAACGGUUACGGUUAAUACCCGUGACUACUGACGGUACGGAAGAA
Molecule: ribosomal RNA, 153 nt
Filed under: uncultured bacterium
Lineage: Bacteria
Also listed under: 1 other name
Description: partial 16S ribosomal RNA
Rfam family: Bacterial small subunit ribosomal RNA
Source: RNAcentral